AGUCACUUUGAGGAGAAAGGGUUCCGCUUCGUAGGUCAAGACGUCGACGGGGAGAGGAUGGAGGUCAUCGAGCUGGAAGAUCAUCCAUACUUCGUGGGCGUGCAGUAUCACCCCGAGUUCACCUCUCGCCCCAUCAAGCCUUCGCCCCCGUACCUCGGGCUGCUGCUGGCUGCGGCCGGGAAGCUGCCGGGAUACUUACAGAAGGGCUGCCGGCUGUCUCCACGGGACACGUACAGCGACCGGAGCGGCAGCAGCAGCCCAGACUCUGAGAUCUGAGUUAAAACUACCGUCGAUCUCAAGUGAAUGAAUUCAAAUAAAGAUGUUUUCUCAUGUUCAUUGCCGAUGAGUCAUUAUCAAAUACAGACACAACUAAAGCUGCAGGAGCUUAAAUGCAAUAAGUGGACGCUGGUGCCCAACUGCUAAAUUUGAAGUUUAUUUCACGAGUCCUGUGAAUAUUACGGGCUGUUCUCCUAGUUGCAUGUUCUGACUAGCCUGGAGAUUUGCUAUCCAAGUGACAUGCAGCAGCUCUACAUUCAUUGUUCACUUUGUGGCCUUACUGUAAAUAAGCCCUUCUACAUUUACAGUGUCUUUAAAUUUCCACAAGAAUAUAAAAUAAAGGGAUUCUCAAAAAA
This is a long non-coding RNA of Cottoperca gobio, 632 nucleotides long. RefSeq lists it as uncharacterized. The transcript has 3 exons. The record is from RefSeq and is a predicted model, not a curated record. NCBI's taxonomy places the organism in Eukaryota, Metazoa, Chordata, Actinopteri, Perciformes, Bovichtidae.